AUUGAACGCUGGCGGCAUGCCUUACACAUGCAAGUCGAACGGUAACGGGUCCUUCGGGAUGCCGACGAGUGGCGAACGGGUGAGUAAUAUAUCGGAACGUGCCCAGUAGUUGGGUAUAACUGCUCGAAAUAGCAGCUAAUACCGCAUACGACCUUAGGGUGAAAGGGUGGGAGCGCAAGACCUCUCGCUAUUGCACCGGCCGAUAUCGGAUUAGCUAGUUGGUGGGGUAAAGGCCUACCAAGGCAACGAUCUGUAGUUGGUCUGAGAGGACGACCAGCCACACUGGGACUGAGACACGGCCCAGACUCCUACGGGAGGCAGCAGUGGGGAAUUUUGGACAAUGGGCGCAAGCCUGAUCCAGCAAUGCCGCGUGCAGGAAGAAGGCCUUCGGGUUGUAAACUGCUUUUGUCAGGGAAGAAAUGUUCUGGGCUAAUACCCCGGGAGGAUGACGGUACCUGAAGAAUAAGCACCGGCUAACUACGUG
RNAcentral lists this ribosomal RNA (484 nucleotides) under uncultured bacterium. Its description in RNAcentral is "partial 16S ribosomal RNA". It matches the Rfam family "Bacterial small subunit ribosomal RNA", at positions 30 to 507 of the family's 1533-position model. The record is from RNAcentral.